RNAcentral lists this transfer RNA (89 nucleotides) under Sideroxyarcus sp. Its description in RNAcentral is "tRNA-Leu". It matches the Rfam family "tRNA". Rfam says of the family: Transfer RNA (tRNA) molecules are approximately 80 nucleotides in length. Their secondary structure includes four short double-helical elements and three loops (D, anti-codon, and T loops). The record is from RNAcentral. Lineage: Bacteria; Pseudomonadati; Pseudomonadota; Betaproteobacteria; Nitrosomonadales; Gallionellaceae.
GCCCGAGUGGUGAAAUUGGUAGACACAACAGACUUAAAAUCUGUCGCUGAGUAAUCGGCGUACCGGUUCAAUUCCGGUCUCGGGCACCA